AGAGUUUGAUCAUGGCUCAGAACGAACGCUGGCGGCGUGCUUAACACAUGCAAGUCGCGUGCGCAGUUGCCGUAGCAAUACGGUGAUGGGCGCACGGCGCACGGGUGCGUAACACGUGGGCAAUCUGCCCUUUGAUGGGGAAUAACCCGCCGAAAGGCGGGCUAAUUCCGCAUAAGAUUCCCGGAACUUCGGUUCUGGGAUUGAAAGCAGCAAUGCGUCGAAGGAGGAGCCCGCGCCCGAUUAGCUAGUUGGUGAGGUAACGGCUCACCAAGGCUAUGAUCGGUAGCUGGUCUGAGAGGAUGAUCAGCCACACUGGAACUGAGACACGGUCCAGACUCCUACGGGAGGCAGCAGUGGGGAAUCUUGCACAAUGGGCGAAAGCCUGAUGCAGCGACGCCGCGUGGGGGAUGAAGCAUUUCGGUGUGUAAACCCCUUUCGACUGGGACGAAUGCCUCGCAAGAGGAGUGACGGUACCAGUAGAAGAAGCCCCGGCUAACUACGUGCCAGCAGCCGCGGUAAGACGUAGGGGGCCAGCGUUGUUCGGAAUUACUGGGUGUAAAGGGUUCGUAGGCGGUGCGGCAAGUUGGGAGUGAAAUCUCUGGGCUUAACCCAGAGGCUGCUUCCAAAACUGCUGUGCUCGAGUGUGAGAGAGGCUCGUGGAAUUGCAGGUGUAGCGGUGAAAUGCGUAGAUAUCUGCAGGAACACCCGUGGCGAAAGCGGCGAGCUGGAUCACUACUGACGCUGAGGAACGAAAGCUAGGGGAGCAAACAGGAUUAGAUACCCUAGUAGUCC
Molecule: ribosomal RNA, 792 nt
Filed under: uncultured bacterium
Lineage: Bacteria
Description: bacterial SSU rRNA
Rfam family: Bacterial small subunit ribosomal RNA
Source: RNAcentral